This 913-nucleotide long non-coding RNA is filed under the name Ixodes scapularis (black-legged tick). Its description in RNAcentral is "uncharacterized LOC115309045, transcript variant X1". The record is from RNAcentral. Lineage: Eukaryota; Metazoa; Arthropoda; Arachnida; Ixodida; Ixodidae.
GGUGGCGCAAGCAACCGCCGGAUGCGAAGGUUUCAGCUGCAGUACCCUUCUAUACAUAUGAUACGUGUAUUUUCCCGAUUUUCCUACUACUUUUCGCUGUGAUUUGUAGCUGCAUGCUGCCGGUGCACUGUCACGCGGUCUCGCUGUCUGGCCGCGGAGGUACGACGCACAGGCUAUCAAGAUGAGCAAACCUAAGAGUUAACGUGACAACUACCAAAUCCCCGGAUGGAACCUGCUGGGCAGUCCUUGUAGUCAUGGGGAUCAUGAAACGAGCGCGGGGAUUGGAUGCCGCCAGGGAGAUCGCCUUUCUGGACUCAACUGCAUCAUGCGACGAGUCCCAGAGCUCAGGGAUGGUGGUGCUGGCAGCAACCCCAGCCAGUGCCAUACCCCCGGCUGUACUGCUGCAUAGUUCUCAAAGCACUGAGAGGCACCCAAAGCAUUCAUGACUGAUAAUUCUGCAGUGGAAAAAGCUACUCUGCAAACCACCUGGCCCGUGGCAACCCAACUUCUGUGCCAUGUUCAUGCUGCUCAAGCAGAAUGGCGCUGGCUCCAGGCAUCGCGCAACAACGUCAGCUAAGAUGAAAGGCGGGAACUAAUGUCUAAAUUACAAAAGGUAGAUGCAAAUUUACUGUGUGUUCUUAUCAUGUUCUGAUGCAAUCCCUGCUAUCACUUGUUACGGCUGCAUGAACUUUUGUAUAAUGGAAAGCCUUCUUGGCAAUACGUUGGCUGCAGUUGUUGAAGAUGCAGUUUUUUCCCUUUUUUGGAAUAAAUUUAAUAAAAAGAGAAUGAUUUGGCUGCAAAGAGUGCCUCACACAAAUAGGUCAGUUAGUUUAUGUCCCUUUAUAACUAUGGGGAAAAAAAGUUUCUGGUGAAAGGUGUAGCUCAUUCAUCCAUAAAAUGAACAUACUUCCAA